ACGAACGCUGGCGGCGUGCUUAACCCAUGCCAGUCGAACGGAAAGGCCCUUCGGGGUACUCGAGUGGCGAACGGGUGAGUAACACGUGGGUGAUCUGCCCUGCACUUUGGGAUAAGCCUGGGAAACUGGGUCUAAUACCGGAUAGGACCACGGCAUUCAUGUGCUGUGGUGGAAAGCUGUUGCGGUGUGGGAUGGGCCCGCGGCCUAUCAGCUUGUUGGUGGGGUAAUGGCCUACCAAGGCGACGACGGGUAGCCGGCCUGAGAGGGUGACCGGCCACACUGGGACUGAGAUACGGCCCAGACUCCUACGGGAGGCAGCAGUGGGGAAUAUUGCACAAUGGGCGCAAGCCUGAUGCAGCGACGCCGCGUGAGGGAUGACGGCCUUCGGGUUGUAAACCUCUUUCGCCAGGGACGAAGCGCAAGUGACGGUACCUGGAGAAGAAGGACCGGCCAACUACGUG
This 461-nucleotide ribosomal RNA is filed under the name uncultured bacterium. RNAcentral's name for it is "partial 16S ribosomal RNA". It matches the Rfam family "Bacterial small subunit ribosomal RNA", at positions 29 to 507 of the family's 1533-position model. The record is from RNAcentral.